UACGUAGGGUGCAAGCGUUAUCCGGAAUUAUUGGGCGUAAAGAGCUCGUAGGCGGCUUGUCGCGUCGACUGUGAAAUCCCGCGGCUCAACUGCGGGUCUGCAGUCGAUACGGGCAGGCUAGAGUUCGGUAGGGGAGACUGGAAUUCCUGGUGUAGCGGUGAAAUGCGCAGAUAUCAGGAGGAACACCGAUGGCGAAGGCAGGUCUCUGGGCCGAUACUGACGCUGAGGAGCGAAAGCGUGGGGAGCGAACAGG
Molecule: ribosomal RNA, 253 nt
Filed under: uncultured bacterium
Lineage: Bacteria
Description: partial 16S ribosomal RNA
Rfam family: Bacterial small subunit ribosomal RNA
Source: RNAcentral